Non-coding RNA from Sturnus vulgaris (Common starling), 103 nucleotides. NCBI's taxonomy places the organism in Eukaryota, Metazoa, Chordata, Aves, Passeriformes, Sturnidae. The record is from RefSeq and is a predicted model, not a curated record.
AGGUCAUAGGAGACCUGCUGAAAUAAGAGAGGGAAUUAAUAAAAAUGAAAAUAAAGGAAUGUUAAAUUUACAGCUUAACUAAUUAUUAAAUAUGAAUACUGAA